GACGAACGCUGGCGGCGUGCUUAACACAUGCAAGUCGAACGGAAAGGCCCUGCUUUUGUGGGGUGCUCGAGUGGCGAACGGGUGAGUAACACGUGAGUAACUGCCCUUUACUUUUGGGUAACCUCAGGAAACUGGGGCUAAUACCGGGAAAGAGGUCCCUCCGCAUUGUUGGGGGUGGGAAAGUUCGGCGGUUGGGGAUGGACUCGCGGCUUAUCAGCUUGUUGGUGGGGUAGUGGCUUACCAAGGCUUUGACGGGUAGCCGGCCUGAGAGGGUGACCGGCCACAUUGGGACUGAGAUACGGCCCAGACUCCUACGGGAGGCAGCAGUGGGGAAUAUUGCACAAUGGGCGGAAGCCUGAUGCAGCAACGCCGCGUGCGGGAUGACGGCCUUCGGGUUGUAAACCGCUUUCGCCUGUGACGAAGCGUGAGUGACGGUAAUGGGUAAAGAAGCACCGGCUAACUACGUG
Molecule: ribosomal RNA, 467 nt
Filed under: uncultured bacterium
Lineage: Bacteria
Description: partial 16S ribosomal RNA
Rfam family: Bacterial small subunit ribosomal RNA
Source: RNAcentral